AUGUACCAAAAGUACAUUGCCGAGUUGGACACGAUUACGCCUGAGCAGGUGGAAUGGCAGCCAUAUGGCGCGGGUGAGAGCUUGGGGUACACCGCGGACUUCCGCCUCAACCCGAUGUGCUUGCGGGAUAAGGAUCUCUGGCUUAUGCGGUGCCCAUUGAUAUGCAACUGGGUGGUUGAGUUUCAUUUGCCGCAUCGCGUGUAUCGUCAGUUUGGUCUUUUCCAGCCUCACCCGCCGGAUUGGGUGGACACGGAUAAAGCACUUCAUAGGUUGGACAGGAGAAGGCAACGGAAGAUAAAGGACUGGGCCAAGCAUCAUUCUGCGUAUGUUACCCGCUUCCAGCUUUGUGUGGAGCAAGCUCGUAGCACUGCACGCGCCCCGCUUCGUGAGCACAACUCACUUGCUUUUGAUAACUAUGUACGAUGGUUUAUUGGAACUACUCGAGUUGAGAUAUGCCCGCCGGCAUAUAAUGAGGAUAUUCUUGAAGAACCCGUAAACUUUGAGGAUCUAGCAAAGGGGAAGUACAACAGAGAUGUCAGGCUAGGGCAAGGAGUGCCUGCUGUUCCGGUGAUUAACUAUGUGCGCACCGAGAUCAAGAGAGCAGCUGAUGAGAGCCAGUCUAUUCUGGAGAAGACACGGGUUGGAACUGGCAAUGAUGAUGGUUCACUACGAGCAUUCCUCAAGCGUCAGGCCAAGAAGUUAAGGCGGUUAUCGAACCUUCUCGGUUGCCGUGAUCCUGAAUAUGAUGAACCAUCUGCCUCUAGGUCUGGUACACCAUCAGACCCCGCACCUCACCAUGAGGGGGACGAUGUGAGUUCCUCAUAUGCUUAUGUGGAUGAUGAGGGU
Molecule: ribosomal RNA, 846 nt
Filed under: Triticum aestivum (bread wheat)
Lineage: Eukaryota; Viridiplantae; Streptophyta; Magnoliopsida; Poales; Poaceae
Description: partial small subunit ribosomal RNA
Source: RNAcentral